RNAcentral lists this long non-coding RNA (748 nucleotides) under Brachypodium distachyon (stiff brome). RNAcentral's name for it is "long non-coding RNA (BDIS_LNC004344)". Lineage: Eukaryota; Viridiplantae; Streptophyta; Magnoliopsida; Poales; Poaceae. The record is from RNAcentral.
ACGUUCUUCUCGACAUGCAUGACGUCUAUGGUGUGACGGCUCUGUAAGAACCUCCGGUAUGGCAUGUAACAUCCCAAAAUUUCAAACUUUUACAUGUGCAUUGCACCCAUGAGCAUCAUGCCACAAUUGCAUAUUUGAAUUCAAAUUUGAAUCUCAAAAGGCUUUAAAAGACUUUGUUUAGACCCAUUUAAGCUUUGGUUUGUCAAACCAAUAGGGUUUAUGUGUAAAAGGGGUUUGUUGCAUAUAUAAGCUAUCCCACAAUUUUUGGAUAAUUAUUUGGAGUUGAAAAAGUAUUUUAUUUAAAUAGACAUAUAGCCCUAAAGGCAUUUAUAGGGCAAAUGUAUUUUUAUAUAUUUUAUUUUGAGGGGAAACUACUCUCAAAAGUUGAAUCAUGGUAAAGCAUGAUUUUACAAAUUUCUGGAAUUUAUUUGGACCAAUUUGGAGCUCAAAAUCAAAAGAUAUCAAGGAAAUAAGAAAAACAGAAAAAGAAAAGGCUAAAGAAAAAAAAAUAGAACGGACCGACCCACUGGGCCGGCCCGCUAAGCCACGAACCGGCCGAACCGGUCGUCUGACCGCGCCCGAACCAGACCGGUCCGCGCGCGCGCGCUCGCUGCCGCCGACCCGGGGGACCCACGCGUCAGGGUCUUCGUCCCCAAUGGAAAGCCGCCGCAAUCACCGCGCCGCCUUCCUUCUUCGCCGCCGCGCCGUCUCCGCCGCGGAUUCCGACCUUCCCAAUCUUCGCCGCUCG